AUUGAACGCUGGCGGCAUGCCUUACACAUGCAAGUCGAACGGCAGCACGGGAGCAAUCCUGGUGGCGAGUGGCGAACGGGUGAGUAAAGUAUCGGAACGUGCCCAGUCGUGGGGGAUAACGUAGCGAAAGUUACGCUAAUACCGCAUACGAUCUAUGGAUGAAAGCGGGGGAUCGCAAGACCUCGCGCGAUUGGAGCGGCCGAUAUCAGAUUAAGUAGUUGGUGGGGUAAAGGCCCACCAAGCCGACGAUCUGUAGCUGGUCUGAGAGGACGACCAGCCACACUGGGACUGAGACACGGCCCAGACGCCUACGGGAGGCAGCGGUGGGGAAUUUUGGACAAUGGGCGAAAGCCUGAUCCAGCCAUGCCGCGUGCAGGAUGAAGGCCUUCGGGUUGUAAACUGCUUUUGUACGGAACGAAAAGGACUGCCCUAAUACGGUGGUCCCAUGACGGUACCGUAAGAAUAAGCACCGGCUAACUACGUGCCAGCCGCCGCCGUAA
RNAcentral lists this ribosomal RNA (500 nucleotides) under uncultured bacterium. RNAcentral describes it as "partial 16S ribosomal RNA". It matches the Rfam family "Bacterial small subunit ribosomal RNA", at positions 29 to 523 of the family's 1533-position model. The record is from RNAcentral.